RNAcentral lists this ribosomal RNA (286 nucleotides) under uncultured Lachnospiraceae bacterium. RNAcentral's name for it is "partial 16S ribosomal RNA". The stretch from base 48 to 286 matches the Rfam family "Bacterial small subunit ribosomal RNA", at positions 100 to 339 of the family's 1533-position model. The record is from RNAcentral. Lineage: Bacteria; Bacillati; Bacillota; Clostridia; Lachnospirales; Lachnospiraceae.
ACUUUAUUUGAUUUCCUUCGGGACUGAUUAUUUUGUGACUGAGUGGCGGACGGGUGAGUAACGCGUGGGUAACCUGCCUUGUACAGGGGGAUAACAGUCGGAAACGACUGCUAAUACCGCAUAAGCGCACAGCUUCGCAUGAAGCAGUGUGAAAAACUCCGGUGGUACAAGAUGGACCCGCGUCUGAUUAGGUAGUUGGUGGGGUAACGGCCUACCAAGCCGACGAUCAGUAGCCGACCUGAGAGGGUGACCGGCCACAUUGGGACUGAGACACGGCCCAAACUCC